GACGAACGCUGGCGGCGUGCUUAACACAUGCAAGUCGAACGGUAAGGCCUUUCGGGGUACACGAGUGGCGAACGGGUGAGUAACACGUGGGUGAUCUGCCCUGCACUUCGGGAUAAGCCUGGGAAACUGGGUCUAAUACCGGAUAGGACCCUGGGAUGCAUGUCCUGGGGUGGAAAGCUUUUGCGGUGUGGGAUGGGCCCGCGGCCUAUCAGCUUGUUGGUGGGGUGAUGGCCUACCAAGGCGACGACGGGUAGCCGGCCUGAGAGGGUGACCGGCCACACUGGGACUGAGAUACGGCCCAGACUCCUACGGGAGGCAGCAGUGGGGAAUAUUGCACAAUGGGCGCAAGCCUGAUGCAGCGACGCCGCGUGAGGGAUGACGGCCUUCGGGUUGUAAACCUCUUUCAGCACCGACGAAGCGCAAGUGACGGUAGGUGCAGAAGAAGGACCGGCCAACUACGUGCCAGCCGCCGCAGUAA
RNAcentral lists this ribosomal RNA (478 nucleotides) under uncultured bacterium. RNAcentral's name for it is "partial 16S ribosomal RNA". It matches the Rfam family "Bacterial small subunit ribosomal RNA", at positions 28 to 523 of the family's 1533-position model. The record is from RNAcentral.